GCUGAGAAUGGUUUAGUGAGACCUCCAUUAAUCACUAAGGAAUAAGUAACAGAUGAAACACAAGCCAUAAUCCAAUCCACAAAUUUUGCAGGAAAUUCAAGGUCAACCAACAUCUGUUUAAGAAAUCUCCAUUCAAUAGUUUCAUAAGCCUUCCUUAAAUCAACCUUUAGUACACACCUAGGUGAUAUACCUUUCCUGCC
Molecule: long non-coding RNA, 200 nt
Filed under: Nicotiana benthamiana
Lineage: Eukaryota; Viridiplantae; Streptophyta; Magnoliopsida; Solanales; Solanaceae
Description: long non-coding RNA (NBEN_LNC031198)
Source: RNAcentral